RNAcentral lists this ribosomal RNA (789 nucleotides) under bacterium enrichment culture. RNAcentral's name for it is "bacterial SSU rRNA". It matches the Rfam family "Bacterial small subunit ribosomal RNA", at positions 741 to 1532 of the family's 1533-position model. The record is from RNAcentral.
UGACGCUGAGGCACGAAAGCGUGGGUAGCAAACAGGAUUAGAUACCCUGGUAGUCCACGCCGUAAACGAUGGAUACUAGGUGUAGGGGGUAUCAACUCCCUCUGUGUCGCAGUUAACACAAUAAGUAUCCCGCCUGGGGAGUACGGUCGCAAGAUUAAAACUCAAAGGAAUUGACGGGGGCCCGCACAAGCAGCGGAGCAUGUGGUUUAAUUCGAAGCAACGCGAAGAACCUUACCUGGACUUGACAUCCCUUGCAUAGCCUAGAGAUAGGUGAAGCCCUUCGGGGCAAGGAGACAGGUGGUGCAUGGUUGUCGUCAGCUCGUGUCGUGAGAUGUUAGGUUAAGUCCUGCAACGAGCGCAACCCUUGUUAUUAGUUGCUACCAUUAAGUUGAGCACUCUAAUGAGACUGCCUGGGUAACCAGGAGGAAGGUGGGGAUGACGUCAAAUCAUCAUGCCCCUUACGUCCAGGGCUACACACGUGCUACAAUGGUAGGUACAAUAAGAGGCAAGACCGUGAGGUGGAGCAAAACUUAUAAAGCCUAUCUCAGUUCGGAUUGUAGGCUGCAACUCGCCUACAUGAAGCUGGAGUUGCCAGUAAUCGCGAAUCAGAAUGUCGCGGUGAAUACGUUCUCGGGCCUUGUACACACCGCCCGUCACACCAUGAGAGCUGGUAACACCCGAAGUCCGUGAGGCAACCGUAAGGAGCCAGCGGCCGAAGGUGGGAUUAGUGAUUGGGGUGAAGUCGUAACAAGGUAGCCGUAGGAGAACCUGCGGCUGGAUCACCUCCUU